ACGGGGUGCAGCAGGCGCGAAAACUUUACACUGCACGACAGUGCGAUAAGGGAACCCCAAGUGCGAGGGCAUACAGUCCUCGCUUUUCUGUACCGUAAGGAGGUACAAGAAUAAGGGCUGGGCAAGACCGGUGCCAGCCGCCGCGGUAAUACCGGCAGCUCAAGUGAUGACCGCUAUUAUUGGGCCUAAAGCGUCCGUAGCUGGCCGCACAGGUCCGUUGGGAAAUCUGCUCGCUUAACGAGCAGGCGUCCAACGGAAACCGUGCGGCUUGGGACCGGGAGGUCUGGAGGGUACGUCCGGGGUAGGAGUGAAAUCCUGUAAUCCUGGACGGACCACCGAUGGCGAAAGCACCUCGAGAAGACGGAUCCGACAGUGAGGGACGAAAGCUAGGGUCUCGAACCGGAUUAGAUACCCGGGUAGUCCUAGCCGUAAACAAUGUUCACUAGGUGUGGCACAGGCUACGAGCCUGUGCUGUGCCGUAGGGAAGCCGAGAAGUGAACCGCCUGGGAAGUACGUCCGCAAGGAUGAAACUUAAAGGAAUUGGCGGGGGAGCAC
Molecule: ribosomal RNA, 555 nt
Filed under: uncultured archaeon
Lineage: Archaea
Description: bacterial SSU rRNA
Rfam family: Archaeal small subunit ribosomal RNA
Source: RNAcentral